UGGGGAAUUUUGGACAAUGGGCGAAAGCCUGAUCCAGCAAUGCCGCGUGUGUGAAGAAGGCCUUCGGGUUGUAAAGCACUUUUGUCCGGAAAGAAAUCCUCUGGGUUAAUACCUCGGGGGGAUGACGGUACCGGAAGAAUAAGCACCGGCUAACUACGUGCCAGCAGCCGCGGUAAUACGUAGGGUGCAAGCGUUAAUCGGAAUUACUGGGCGUAAAGCGUGCGCAGGCGGUUUUGUAAGACGGAUGUGAAAUCCCCGGGCUUAACCUGGGAACUGCAUUCGUGACUGCAAGGCUAGAGUAUGGCAGAGGGGGGUAGAAUUCCACGUGUAGCAGUGAAAUGCGUAGAGAUGUGGAGGAAUACCGAUGGCGAAGGCAGCCCCCUGGGCCAAUACUGACGCUCAUGCACGAAAGCGUGGGGGAGCAAACAGGAUUAGAUACCCUGGUAGUCCACGCCCUAAAACGAUGUCAACUAGUUGUUGGGGGAUUCAUUUCCUUAGUAACGUAGCUAACGCGUGAAGUUGACCGCCU
RNAcentral lists this ribosomal RNA (529 nucleotides) under uncultured bacterium. RNAcentral's name for it is "partial 16S ribosomal RNA". It matches the Rfam family "Bacterial small subunit ribosomal RNA", at positions 355 to 874 of the family's 1533-position model. The record is from RNAcentral.